GCGGGGCGUCCGAAGUCGCUGAGCAAACCGCAAGGGGGCAGGCGACCACGGUAGGAUCAGCGACUGGGGUGAAGUCGUAACAAGGUAGCCGUAGGUGAACCUGCAGAAGGAUCA
Molecule: ribosomal RNA, 114 nt
Filed under: uncultured eukaryote
Lineage: Eukaryota
Description: partial small subunit ribosomal RNA
Rfam family: Bacterial small subunit ribosomal RNA
Source: RNAcentral